Molecule: ribosomal RNA, 412 nt
Filed under: uncultured microorganism
Description: bacterial SSU rRNA
Rfam family: Archaeal small subunit ribosomal RNA
Source: RNAcentral
CAGCCGCCGCGGUAAUACCAGCCCCGCGAGUGGUCGGGACGGUUAUUGGGCCUAAAGCGCCCGUAGCCGGCCCGGCAAGUCCCUCCUUAAAGCCUCGGGCCCAACCCGAGGACGGGGGGGAUACUGCCGGGCUAGGGGGCGGGAGAGGCCGGCGGUACUCCCGGGGUAGGGGCGAAAUCCGUUAAUCCCGGGAGGACCACCAGUGGCGAAGGCGGCCGGCUGGAACGCGCCCGACGGUGAGGGGCGAAAGCCGGGGGAGCGAACCGGAUUAGAUACCCGGGUAGUCCCGGCGGUAAACGAUGCGGGCUAGCUGUUGGGCGGGCUUAGAGCCCGCCCAGUGGCGCAGGGAAGCCGUUAAGUCCGCCGCCUGGGGAGUACGGCCGCAAGGCUGAAACUUAAAGGAAUUGGCGGG